Molecule: ribosomal RNA, 429 nt
Filed under: Chloroflexota bacterium
Lineage: Bacteria; Bacillati; Chloroflexota
Description: Chloroflexi bacterium partial 16S ribosomal RNA
Rfam family: Bacterial small subunit ribosomal RNA
Source: RNAcentral
UGGUGAAUAUUGCACAAUGGGCGCAAGCCUGAUGCAGCCAUGCCGCGUGUAUGAAGAAGGCCUUCGGGUUGUAAAGUACGUUCAGCGGGGAGGAAGGGAGUAAAGUUAAUACCUUUGCUCAUUGACGUUACCCGCAGAAGAAGCACCGGCUAACUCCGUGCCAGCAGCCGCGUUAAUACGGAGGGUGCAAGCGUUAAUCGGAAUUACUGGGCGUAAAGCGCACGCAGGCGGUUUGUUAAGUCAGAAGUGAAAUCCCCGGGCUAAACCUGGGAACUGCAUCCGAUUCUGGCAAGAUUGAGUAUCUGAGAGGGGGGUAGAAUGCCAGGUGUAGCGGUGAAAUGCGUACAGAUCUGGAGGAAUACCGGUGGCGAAGGCGGCCCGCUGGACGAAGAAUUACGCACAGGUGCGAAAGCGAGGGGAGCAAACAGG